Molecule: transfer RNA, 80 nt
Filed under: Blumeria graminis f. sp. tritici
Lineage: Eukaryota; Fungi; Ascomycota; Leotiomycetes; Helotiales; Erysiphaceae
Also listed under: 1 other name
Rfam family: tRNA
About the family: Transfer RNA (tRNA) molecules are approximately 80 nucleotides in length. Their secondary structure includes four short double-helical elements and three loops (D, anti-codon, and T loops).
Source: Rfam by way of RNAcentral
UCUUUGAUGGUCUAACGGUUAUGAUUUCCGCUUGUCAAUGCACACCGCGGGAGACCGGGGUUCGACUCCCCGUCAGAGAG